GACAGGUGCAGGAAAUUUACGUUGCCGCGACGUAUGCAAAUGAAUGCUUCAUCUGCAAUUGAUCGCGAGUCAUUUUGAAGCAUCGUCUGGAAAUACCUCGCAGCUACGUAGCUAGCUAGUCGGUUAGAUGUAUUACAAGUUCCUCAGUUGUUCGCGGGUGAUUUGGAAGCAUCGUUUAUUGAGCCUCUGGGCGUCUUGAUGGAAAUCUAGGCCUAUACAUCGCAGCAUCAUAUUAACUAUGUCGGUACAAUUUCAUUCAAGUUCCUCACUUGAUUGCUGGUCAUUUUAUAGCAUUCGAUAAAGAAAGGAAAAAAAGUUGUCACAGUCUAUGAAGGGUUAGGAUGGAGACUGCUCGUCGCUGCUGUCAAACCACAUGAUAACAGGAAAGAGUUUGAAAACUAUGAUUUGAUGACCACUGCUGAAUUGGCCUGCUCAGAGGAAGAGGCACUAAUGAUUCCAGAAAACAGGAAGCCAAAGAAGAAGACCUACACAGACUUUGAAAUGGGUAGCAGUAGCAGCAGCACCGAGGAAUCCUACUUUCCUGAGUCCGACACCGAGAGGGCCAUCAAGGACUUCCCCGACUGGUAACAGACUGGAGUAGAGGCUGUAGCAGAGAUGACCUUUUUUUUUACUGAAAUAAUUGAGAAAGGCUAAGCAAGUGACAAGUUUUUUUUAACUGAAACAGAUUCCGUUGGACAUCCUGUUGUGUGCGCAAGCACCUUUUUAUUACUACGGGUUUACAGACACAUCUCUACUGAUUGCGUAUCACCUAGAAGCUAAUAAUUGAGAGACACACCCACCAAACGAGAGAAAACAACUCAAGUUGUUGCACACCGUUCCCAGGAAACGUGCUGUUUUGAGAUUGAACAUGCCCCAGCUCUUUGAUUGAGGGAAGGCCCACAGUCUCAGACUUUAAAAAACACUGGUUUAAGCUUUCAAUAGUAUUUUUGUA
This is a long non-coding RNA of Perca flavescens (yellow perch), 952 nucleotides long. RefSeq lists it as uncharacterized. The record is from RefSeq and is a predicted model, not a curated record. The transcript has 3 exons. Lineage: Eukaryota; Metazoa; Chordata; Actinopteri; Perciformes; Percidae.